RNAcentral lists this unclassified non-coding RNA (1589 nucleotides) under Umbelopsis sp. Coc4005. RNAcentral describes it as "partial contains ITS1, 5.8S rRNA, ITS2 and LSU". The stretch from base 595 to 1589 matches the Rfam family "Eukaryotic large subunit ribosomal RNA", at positions 1 to 915 of the family's 3401-position model. The record is from RNAcentral. Lineage: Eukaryota; Fungi; Mucoromycota; Umbelopsidomycetes; Umbelopsidales; Umbelopsidaceae.
UCCGUAGGUGAACCUGCGGAAGGAUCAUUACUGAAGUGAGUCUUCAUUCAUUGAAGCUUCUUCCCAUUGUGCUGGCUUUGACCGUAUGUAAAGUUGGGGAUUAAACAUGGUUCAAAAUUUAUUUUGUGGCCGUCCCCAACAAUUUAUCUCAUCCUUUAUAAAUUUGAACUGAACUCAUUUUGAGAUUACUUAAAAAAAUAAUCUUAUUAUACAACUUUCAACAACGGAUCUCUUGGUUCUCGCAUCGAUGAAGAACGCAGCGAAAUGCGAUACGUAAUGUGAAUUGCAGAAUUCAGUGAAUCAUCGAAUCUUUGAACGCACAUUGCACUCUAUGGUAUUCCGUAGAGUAUGCCUGUUUCAGUAUCAUGAACACCUCACUACUAUAACUUUAUUGUUAUGAUAGUGGAUUUGGAAUGCGCUGGUGUCAGUCAGCCCUUCUAAAAUGGAGUUCUUGCACUGUUGAUUUGUUUUAACAGCAAUGUUGGCCUAAUAAGUUUCAGCAGCAAUGUUGAAAUCACUGGCUUUUUUUGCUUAGAAUCGGACAGUCUUGAUAUACAGAAUUUUUGAGGUGACUUUUGUCUCCUCUUCAAAUUUUGAUCUGAAAUCAGGUAGGAUUACCCGCUGAACUUAAGCAUAUCAAUAAGCGGAGGAAAAGAAACUAACAAGGGAUUUCCCUCAGUAACGGCGAGUGAAGCGGGAAGAGCUCAAAUUUAAAAUCUGGCUUACUUGUAAGUCCGAGUUGUAGUCUGAAGAAACGUUUUCCAUAAGCACUGAGGCACAAGUCCCUUGGAACAGGGCAUCAUAGAGGGUGAGAAUCCCGUCCAUGGUCUCAAGUUGCUUAUUUUGUGAUACGUUUUCAAAGAGUCAGGUUGUUUGGGAAUGCAGCCUAAAAUGGGUGGUAAAUUUCAUCUAAAGCUAAAUAUUGGCGAGAGACCGAUAGCGAACAAGUACCGUGAGGGAAAGAUGAAAAGAACUUUGAAAAGAGAGUUAAACAGUACGUGAAAUUGUUGAAAGGGAACCGUUUGAAGCCAGUCUUACUUGCUCGUGAUCAGUUUGUGCCUCGGCAUGAAUGCACUCUCGGGUAUGGUAGGCCAACGGCAGUUUAGAAUGCGAGAAAAAAAUUUGGGAAAUGUGGCCUUCGGGUGUUAUAGUCCCUUAUGAAAUAUCGUGUUCUGGACUGAGGAUCGCAGUAAAAAUGUGGGCAGGUAGAUUUCUGUGGUGAAUGAUUAUUAGGACAACUUGUUGACCUAGUUUUCAUAAGCCUCACUGUUUGCCUUGCUUCUAAUUUGCUUAGGUCGUUGGCAUAAUGGCUUUAAAUGACCCGUCUUGAAACACGGACCAAGGAGUCUAACAUAUAUGCGAGUAUUUGGGUGACAAACCCAUAUGCGCAAUGAAAGUGAAAUUAGGUGCCAAACCUUCACGGGUGGCAGCAUCGGCCGGCUCUGACGUUUUAACUGACGAGUCUGAGCAGAAGCAUACAUGUUGGGACCCGAAAGAUGGUGAACUAUGCCUGAAUAGGGUGAAGCCAGAGGAAACUCUGGUGGAGGCUCGUAGCGAUUCUGACGUGCAAAUCGAUCGUCAAAUUUGGG